RNAcentral lists this ribosomal RNA (512 nucleotides) under uncultured Acetobacter sp. RNAcentral's name for it is "bacterial SSU rRNA". It matches the Rfam family "Bacterial small subunit ribosomal RNA", at positions 371 to 900 of the family's 1533-position model. The record is from RNAcentral. Lineage: Bacteria; Pseudomonadati; Pseudomonadota; Alphaproteobacteria; Acetobacterales; Acetobacteraceae.
AUGGGGGCAACCCUGAUCCAGCAAUGCCGCGUGUGUGAAGAAGGUUUUCGGAUUGUAAAGCACUUUCGGCGGGGACGAUGAUGACGGUACCCGCAGAAGAAGCCCCGGCUAACUUCGUGCCAGCAGCCGCGGUAAUACGAAGGGGGCUAGCGUUGCUCGGAAUGACUGGGCGUAAAGGGCGUGUAGGCGGUUUGCACAGUUAGAUGUGAAAUCCCCGGGCUUAACCUGGGAGCUGCAUUUGAUACGUGCAGACUAGAGUGUGAGAGAGGGUUGUGGAAUUCCCAGUGUAGAGGUGAAAUUCGUAGAUAUUGGGAAGAACACCGGUGGCGAAGGCGGCAACCUGGCUCAUGACUGACGCUGAGGCGCGAAAGCGUGGGGAGCAAACAGGAUUAGAUACCCUGGUAGUCCACGCUGUAAACGAUGUGUGCUGGAUGUUGGGUAACUUAGUUACUCAGUGUCGUAGCUAACGCGAUAAGCACACCGCCUGGGGAGUACGGCCGCAAGGUUGAAAC